AUGAACGCUGGCGGCGUGCCUAAUACAUGCAAGUCGAGCGAACAGACGAGGAGCUUGCUCCUCUGACGUUAGCGGCGGACGGGUGAGUAACACGUGGAUAACCUACCUAUAAGACUGGGAUAACUUCGGGAAACCGGAGCUAAUACCGGAUAAUAUAUUAAACCGCAUGGUUCAAUAGUGAAAGACGGUUUUGCUGUCCCUUAUAGUUGGAUCCGCGCCGCAUUAGCUAGUUGGUAAGGUAACGGCUUACCAAGGCAACGAUGCGUAGCCGACCUGAGAGGGUGAUCGGCCACACUGGAACUGAGACACGGUCCAGACUCCUACGGGAGGCAGCAGUAGGGAAUCUUCCGCAAUGGGCGAAAGCCUGACGGAGCAACGCCGCGUGAGUGAUGAAGGUCUUCGGAUCGUAAAACUCUGUUAUUAGGGAAGAACAAAUGUGUAAGUAACUAUGCACGUCUUGACGGUACCUAAUCAGAAAGCCACGGCUAACUACGUG
Molecule: ribosomal RNA, 496 nt
Filed under: uncultured bacterium
Lineage: Bacteria
Description: partial 16S ribosomal RNA
Rfam family: Bacterial small subunit ribosomal RNA
Source: RNAcentral